This 1451-nucleotide ribosomal RNA is filed under the name Pectobacterium brasiliense. RNAcentral describes it as "bacterial SSU rRNA". It matches the Rfam family "Bacterial small subunit ribosomal RNA". RNAcentral also lists the same sequence under 1 other name. The record is from RNAcentral. Lineage: Bacteria; Pseudomonadati; Pseudomonadota; Gammaproteobacteria; Enterobacterales; Pectobacteriaceae.
UGGGUGACGAGCGGCGGACGGGUGAGUAAUGUCUGGGAAACUGCCUGAUGGAGGGGGAUAACUACUGGAAACGGUAGCUAAUACCGCAUAACCUCGCAAGAGCAAAGAGGGGGACCUUCGGGCCUCUCGCCAUCAGAUGUGCCCAGAUGGGAUUAGCUAGUAGGUGAGGUAAUGGCUCACCUAGGCGACGAUCCCUAGCUGGUCUGAGAGGAUGACCAGCCACACUGGAACUGAGACACGGUCCAGACUCCUACGGGAGGCAGCAGUGGGGAAUAUUGCACAAUGGGCGCAAGCCUGAUGCAGCCAUGCCGCGUGUGUGAAGAAGGCCUUCGGGUUGUAAAGCACUUUCAGCGGGGAGGAAGGCGGUAAGGUUAAUAACCUUAUCGAUUGACGUUACCCGCAGAAGAAGCACCGGCUAACUCCGUGCCAGCAGCCGCGGUAAUACGGAGGGUGCAAGCGUUAAUCGGAAUGACUGGGCGUAAAGCGCACGCAGGCGGUCUGUUAAGUUGGAUGUGAAAUCCCCGGGCUUAACCUGGGAACUGCAUUCAAAACUGACAGGCUAGAGUCUUGUAGAGGGGGGUAGAAUUCCAGGUGUAGCGGUGAAAUGCGUAGAGAUCUGGAGGAAUACCGGUGGCGAAGGCGGCCCCCUGGACAAAGACUGACGCUCAGGUGCGAAAGCGUGGGGAGCAAACAGGAUUAGAUACCCUGGUAGUCCACGCUGUAAACGAUGUCGAUUUGGAGGUUGUGCCCUUGAGGCGUGGCUUCCGGAGCUAACGCGUUAAAUCGACCGCCUGGGGAGUACGGCCGCAAGGUUAAAACUCAAAUGAAUUGACGGGGGCCCGCACAAGCGGUGGAGCAUGUGGUUUAAUUCGAUGCAACGCGAAGAACCUUACCUACUCUUGACAUCCAGAGAACUUAGCAGAGAUGCUUUGGUGCCUUCGGGAACUCUGAGACAGGUGCUGCAUGGCUGUCGUCAGCUCGUGUUGUGAAAUGUUGGGUUAAGUCCCGCAACGAGCGCAACCCUUAUCCUUUGUUGCCAGCGAUUCGGUCGGGAACUCAAAGGAGACUGCCGGUGAUAAACCGGAGGAAGGUGGGGAUGACGUCAAGUCAUCAUGGCCCUUACGAGUAGGGCUACACACGUGCUACAAUGGCGUAUACAAAGAGAAGCGACCUCGCGAGAGCAAGCGGACCUCAUAAAGUACGUCGUAGUCCGGAUUGGAGUCUGCAACUCGACUCCAUGAAGUCGGAAUCGCUAGUAAUCGUAGAUCAGAAUGCUACGGUGAAUACGUUCCCGGGCCUUGUACACACCGCCCGUCACACCAUGGGAGUGGGUUGCAAAAGAAGUAGGUAGCUUAACCUUCGGGAGGGCGCUUACCACUUUGUGAUUCAUGACUGGGGUGAAGUCGUAACAAGGUAACCGUAGGGGAACCUGCGGUUGGAUCACCUCCUUA